Long non-coding RNA from Phlebotomus papatasi, 777 nucleotides. RefSeq lists it as uncharacterized. The record is from RefSeq and is a predicted model, not a curated record. The transcript is spliced from 3 exons. NCBI's taxonomy places the organism in Eukaryota, Metazoa, Arthropoda, Insecta, Diptera, Psychodidae.
UUUAUUUUUUUUUUCAUCAGUGCAUUGCUGAAACUGCCCUACUCUCCACUACACCAGUAAAAGUUAAAUACGAUCCAUAUUUUCUCAAAGUUCAUAUCUCCACUGUUUCGUUUUAAAUAUAUUGUGAUAGUCCGUGAAAGAAUAUCACAUUUUAUUACUUUCAAAAGAAUCAAUUUUUGGAAUUUUUAAAAUUCGUCACUGCAUUCUACUGUUAAAUUGGAAAAAAAAACUUUAAACCCGACCAAAGCUCCGAGAGUUCUGGAAUAUUCUGGGGGUCUGAACAAAAAUGCUUUAUCUACAAAGACUUUUCGGAAAUUCGGAAAUAAUUCCAGGUGUAAAAGCUGAAACUCCUCUUCCAGAAAGAAAAAUAUAACAUUUCGGAAUGACACCGGACAAAGACAAACGUAUAUGUGUAUGUGGUUAAAGGAAUCACUUGCCGAAAUCGAAUGAGGAACGUAGCCGUUCGUAAGGAGCUAAGAGUCGAGGAGUUGCUUCUUCGGGUUGAGGUUGAGAGAUCACAACUUCAAUGGUAUGGGCAUGUUCAGCACAUGAAUUAGAGAAAUAUUACCCAGAAAAGCUAUGCAAGCUAUUGUGACUAGGACGAGGUGGCUGAAUCAAAUUCAGGAUCUUGCCUUGGAGCGCCUUGGAAUCGAAUCCGAAUAACUUCCUGAAGUUGAGGAGGACCGGCUGGCAUGGGCUGCUAACCUAGAUGUCCUAAACUCGCUACCCCAAUAGGGAUAAGCGGUUGAAAAUGAUGAUGAUUCUACACAAGAUUUA